GGAAAAAAACGAUCUUGGAAAAAGCGAGAUCCAUUCAGAUAGUGGCAACAGACAUGAUGACAAGCAUGAUGAUGAUACUGAAGAUGACGAAGAGGAAAUUUUUGGUGGCUCUAAGUCUCAUGCAAUAGAACCUG
RNAcentral lists this non-coding RNA (134 nucleotides) under Ditylum brightwellii. The record is from RNAcentral. Lineage: Eukaryota; Bacillariophyta; Thalassiosirophyceae; Lithodesmiales; Lithodesmiaceae.